AUUUCCUUGGGUUGAUUCCUUUAGCUUUGCUUGUUCUGCAUGAGAAAGAGAACAAAAGCUAAAAAUUUAUUGUUUGAUUUUGAGAUUGAGAGAACAGUCUCGUAGGAAUAAUAGUAGUAGACUUAGGAGAGAAAAUAGAAAAACAAAAGGCUAGAGAAGCUAGCUUGAGUUCUACUUCCAAUACUUUUUCUUCUGUGUCUAUACCUUAGAGGAUAAGGAUAUGGCGGGAAAUCAAGAGGAUGGAAAUGAUAGAGUUAGGCGUACUUUGGAGGAUUAUGCUUCUGUGUCUAUACCUUCAACUUUCAAUAGUAUAGUUCGAACUGUUGUUAAUGCUGCUCAUAUGGAAAUGAAGCCAACAUUGAUUCACCUUAUCCAAAGCAAUCAGUUUAAUGGAUUAUCACACAAAAAUCCUUACACCUAUCUAGCAAACUUUUUAGAGAUCUGUAAUACUGCGAAAAUUCUUCAUGUGCUAGAUGAAGUAAUCAGACUAAGUCUUUUUCCCUUCUCAUUAGCUGGAAAUGCCAAGCUUUAGCUAAAUUCUUUUCCUAAAGGAAGUAUGAUCGUGUGGGAGGAUGUAGUGGCCAAAUUUUUACAUAAAUAUUUUCUCCAAUCCAAGAUCAACACAGGUAAACAAGAAAUAUCCUCCUUUCAACAAGAACUUGAGGAGUCGUUGAGUCAAACAUGGGGAUAAGUUUAAGGGAUAACUAAGAAAGACUCCAAUUCAUGGUUUUGAUGUGCCCACUCAACUAAACCUUUUCUUAGGAGGUUUAAAAUCUCACACUAAGCUAAAGUUAGAUGCCUCGGCUGUAGGUAACAUUAGGUGGAAGAUACCUGAUGAGGCUCAUGAGUUAAUAGAGAAUAUGACAUCCAAUGAUAACGAUUUUCAAAGUGAGAGAGUUCAAACCCAAAAGAAAUUCAUGUUUGAAUUACAAUCCCAAGAUGAUUUAUUGGCCCAAAAUAAAUUCAUGACUCAACAACUUGAAUCUUUGAUGAAAAAAUUGUCACAAUUACCUAAAGAGCUUCAGAAUGUUUCUCAGGCACAACAUCAAGUGGUGCAAAGUUGUGAAUUGUGUGGUGGAGAUCACCAAAAUGGACAUUGUGUUAUUUAGUCCAAUACCAAGGAAGAGGUACAUUACAUGGGAAAUAAUCAAGGUCAUAAAGGCAACUAUGGAAAUUAUAAUCAAGGAUGGAGACCUCAUCCUAGCAUGGGACAAACUAGUUCUUCUAGUAGACCAUCAGCACCACAACAACCUUCUUUGUAUGACAGGACAUCUAAACUUGAAGAGACUCUUCAACAAUUCAUGCAAAUGUCCAUGUCAAACCAAAGAGCACUAAAUCUUCCCUCAGGAAUUUAAAAGUUCAAAUUAGCCAAUUGGCUAAAAAAUUGGAAGAUAAACCUGAGAAAAAUUUUGGAGCAAACACUGAACCAAAUCCUAAAGAGCAUUGUAAGGCUAUCAUUACUAGGAGUGGUAAGGUGUUGGUAGGAGUAGUUGUGAGGAAGGAGGAUGAGAAGGAAAAAGUAAAUGUUGAGAAAGAAGAGGAAGUUGAGAAAAAAGAUAAAAAGAAGGAUGAGGAAGAGAGUCGUAAAGGACAAAAAGUGGUAAAGCCUUUACCUUACCCAGAGACUUAUUCAAGAAAGGAAAAGGAAAGACAAUGUUCGAGGUUUAUGAUUCUUUUUAAGAAGUUGG
RNAcentral lists this long non-coding RNA (1688 nucleotides) under Vigna radiata. RNAcentral's name for it is "long non-coding RNA (VRAD_LNC010471)". The record is from RNAcentral. Lineage: Eukaryota; Viridiplantae; Streptophyta; Magnoliopsida; Fabales; Fabaceae.